GGAAUCUUCCACAAUGGGCGAAAGCCUGAUGGAGCAACGCCGCGUGUGUGAUGAAGGGUUUCGGCUCGUAAAACCCUGUUGUAAGAGAAGAAUGACAUUGAGAGUAACUGUUCAAUGUGUGACGGUAUCUUACCAGAAAGGAACGGCUAAAUACGUGCCAG
This 161-nucleotide ribosomal RNA is filed under the name uncultured bacterium. RNAcentral describes it as "partial 16S rRNA". It matches the Rfam family "Bacterial small subunit ribosomal RNA", at positions 358 to 511 of the family's 1533-position model. The record is from RNAcentral.